GACGAACUUUGGCGGCGUGCUUAACACAUGCAAGUCGAACGGAAAGGCCCUGCUUUUGUGGGGUGCUCGAGUGGCGAACGGGUGAGUAACACGUGAGUAACCUGCCCUUGACUUUGGGAUAACUUCAGGAAACUGGGGCUAAUACCGGAUAGGAGCUCCUGCUGCAUGGUGGGGGUUGGAAAGUUUCGGCGGUUGGGGAUGGACUCGCGGCUUAUCAGCUUGUUGGUGGGGUAGUGGCUUACCAAGGCUUUGACGGGUAGCCGGCCUGAGAGGGUGACCGGCCACAUUGGGACUGAGAUACGGCCCAGACUCCUACGGGAGGCAGCAGUGGGGAAUAUUGCACAAUGGGCGGAAGCCUGAUGCAGCAACGCCGCGUGCGGGAUGACGGCCUUCGGGUUGUAAACCGCUUUCGCCUGUGACGAAGCGUGAGUGACGGUAAUGGGUAAAGAAGCACCGGCUAACUACGUGCCAGCAGCCGCGGUGAUACGUAGGGUGCGAGCGUUGUCCGGAUUUAUUGGGCGUAAAGGGCUCGUAGGUGGUUGAUCGCGUCGGAAGUGUAAUCUUGGGGCUUAACCCUGAGCGUGCUUUCGAUACGGGUUGACUUGAGGAAGGUAGGGGAGAAUGGAAUUCCUGGUGGAGCGGUGGAAUGCGCAGAUAUCAGGAGGAACACCAGUGGCGAAGGCGGUUCUCUGGGCCUUUCCUGACGCUGAGGAGCGAAAGCGUGGGGAGCGAACAGGCUUAGAUACCCUGGUAGUCCACGCUGUAAACGGUGGGUACUAGGUGUGGGGUCCAUUCCACGGGUUCCGUGCCGUAGCUAACGCUUUAAGUACCCCGCCUGGGGAGUACGGCCGCAAGGCUAAAACUCAAAGGAAUUGACGGGGCCCCGCACAAGCGGCGGAGCAUGCGGAUUAAUUCGAUGCAACGCGUAGAACCUUACCUGGGUUUGACAUGGAUCGGGAGUGCUCAGAGAUGGGUGUGCCUCUUUUGGGGUCGGUUCACAGGUGGUGCAUGCCUGUCGUCAGCUCGUGUCGUGAGAUGUUGGGUUAAGUCCCGCAACGAGCGCAACCCUUGUUCACUGUUGCCAGCACGUUAUGGUGGGGACUCAGUGGAGACCGCCGGGGUCAACUCGGAGGAAGGUGGGGAUGACGUCAAGUCAUCAUGCCCCUUAUGUCCAGGGCUUCACGCAUGCUACAAUGGCUGGUACAGAGAGUGGCGAGCCUGUGAGGGUGAGCGAAUCUCGGAAAGCCGGUCUCAGUUCGGAUUGGGGUCUGCAACUCGACCUCAUGAAGUCGGAGUCGCUAGUAAUCGCAGAUCAGCAACGCUGCGGUGAAUACGUUCCCGGGGGCU
Molecule: ribosomal RNA, 1347 nt
Filed under: uncultured bacterium
Lineage: Bacteria
Description: partial 16S ribosomal RNA
Rfam family: Bacterial small subunit ribosomal RNA
Source: RNAcentral